GACAGGCUCUUGCUCUGUUGCCCAGGCUUGAACGCAGUAGCGUAGUCAUGGCUCGCUGCAGCCUCGACCUCCCAGGCUCAAGUGAUUCUCUCACGCUGACCUUCCAAAGUACUGGGAUUACAGGAUCAAUAAUUUUCCUCCCAUCCAGAGAACAUUUUUAAGAAGUUCCUGGAAGGAAUUGUUGGAUUCACUGGAAAUUCUGAAACGGAGGUUCUUCAGGCUGCUAUAACAAAAUAUAGCAGUCUCUUCAGGUGGCUAUAACAAAAUAACAUAAACUGAGUGGCUUACAAACAACAGAAAUUGAUGUCUCACAGUUCUGGAGGCUGUGAAGUCCAAGAUUGAGGUGCUGGCAGAUUUGGUGUCUGGAGUAAACUCAUGGAGACCCACGGCCACAAGUAGACAACUGAAAGAUGACAUUGGGACUGCAUCAGACUUCCCAGGAAGCUCUUUAGUCCAGAUGCAUGUGAACUCCCGAAAGCAGACUGUUGAUUCAAGAUCUGGCAAAUAAAGACUUGAUGAAGUAUGUCUGAAUUAACCAAUGAAAGAAAUAAAAUGUGGUUAUUUGUUUUAAAUAUUGUUGGCAUUGUUUUGAUAUUCUGUUUUCUGAUGGGCAUAUAAAGAGCCA
This 625-nucleotide long non-coding RNA is filed under the name Homo sapiens (human). RNAcentral's name for it is "HSALNT0251971". The record is from RNAcentral. Lineage: Eukaryota; Metazoa; Chordata; Mammalia; Primates; Hominidae.